AGUGAACGCUGGCGGUAGGCCUAACACAUGCAAGUCGAACGGCAGCACAGUAAGAGCUUGCUCUUACGGGUGGCGAGUGGCGGACGGGUGAGGAAUACAUCGGAAUCUACUUUUUCGUGGGGGAUAACGUAGGGAAACUUACGCUAAUACCGCAUACGACCUACGGGUGAAAGCAGGGGAUCUUCUGACCUUGCGCGAUUGAAUGAGCCGAUGUCGGAUUAGCUAGUUGGGGGGGUAAAGGCCCACCAAGGCGACGAUCCGUAGCUGGUCUGAGAGGAUGGUCAGCCACACUGGAACUUGGACACGGUCCAGACGCCUACGGGAGGCAGCAGUGGGGAAUAUUGGGCAAUGGGCGGAAGCCUGAUCCAGCCAUACCGAGUGGGUGAAGAAGGCCUUCGGGUUGUAAAGCCCUUUUGUUGGGAAAGAAAAGCAGCAGGUUAAGACCCCGCGGUUCUGACGGUACCCAAAGAAUAAGCACCGGCUAACUUCGUG
RNAcentral lists this ribosomal RNA (492 nucleotides) under uncultured bacterium. RNAcentral's name for it is "partial 16S ribosomal RNA". It matches the Rfam family "Bacterial small subunit ribosomal RNA", at positions 29 to 507 of the family's 1533-position model. The record is from RNAcentral.